UACGAAGGGAGCUAGCGUUGUUCGGAAUCACUGGGCGUAAAGCGCACGUAGGCGGAUGUGUCAGUCAGGGGUGAAAUCCCGGAGCUCAACUUCGGAACUGCCUUUGAUACAGCACGUCUUGAGUCCGGAAGAGGUGGGUGGAAUUCCUAGUGUAGAGGUGAAAUUCGUAGAUAUCUGGAGGAAUACCGGUGGCGAAGGCGGCAUCCUGGACCGGCAUUGACGCUGAUGAGCGAAAGCUAGGGGAGCAAACGGG
Molecule: ribosomal RNA, 253 nt
Filed under: uncultured bacterium
Lineage: Bacteria
Description: partial 16S ribosomal RNA
Rfam family: Bacterial small subunit ribosomal RNA
Source: RNAcentral